GCGGGACCUCCCUGGGACACAUGAUAGCUCAGAAUUCUCUCUAGGAAUGAAAAGGGGACUAUUUUCUCGUUGGCUCCAGUUCCUCUUUGGUCAAGGGGUCUACGUGGGAUGUCAGCUCUCUCACACUUCCAGGUGUUGACCACAACAACCCUCCCCAGGAAACUGUCUACAAUGUAAUAUCCAUCUCAGAGGCAACUUCGGAGUAUCCUGUCUUGCCACAAGGAUAGCCCGCUGGGCCUGUGGAGUGAGGCAUAGAGUCAGACUCUGCAGAGUCUAGCACAGAGCCCUGCACAGAGCAGGCACUCCUAAAUAUGUUUACAGGAACGGUUAGUCAACGAUGAGUUCUCAGAAAAAUAAAAACACUUAUGUGACUUCA
Bubalus bubalis (water buffalo) is the source of this 376-nucleotide long non-coding RNA. RefSeq lists it as uncharacterized. The transcript is spliced from 2 exons. NCBI's taxonomy places the organism in Eukaryota, Metazoa, Chordata, Mammalia, Artiodactyla, Bovidae. The record is from RefSeq and is a predicted model, not a curated record.